RNAcentral lists this ribosomal RNA (253 nucleotides) under uncultured bacterium. Its description in RNAcentral is "partial 16S ribosomal RNA". It matches the Rfam family "Bacterial small subunit ribosomal RNA", at positions 333 to 601 of the family's 1533-position model. The record is from RNAcentral.
UGCGUCCUACGGGAGGCAGCAGUGGGGAAUAUUGGGCAAUGGGCGCAAGCCUGACCCAGCAACGCCGCGUGAAGGAAGAAGGCUUUCGGGUUGUAAACUUCUUUUAAGGGGGACGAACAAAUGACGGUACCCCUUGAAUAAGCCACGGCUAACUACGUGCCAGCAGCCGCGGUAAUACGUAGGUGGCAAGCGUUAUCCGGAUUUAUUGGGUGUAAAGGGCGGGUAGGCGGGGGCGCAAGGCAGGUGGGAAAAC